GCGCCCGUAGUGAAAUGGAUAUCACGGGAGCCUCCGAAGCUCUAAGUGCAGGUUCGAUUCCUGCCGGGCGCA
RNAcentral lists this transfer RNA (72 nucleotides) under Elusimicrobia bacterium GWA2_62_23. RNAcentral describes it as "tRNA-Arg". It matches the Rfam family "tRNA". Rfam says of the family: Transfer RNA (tRNA) molecules are approximately 80 nucleotides in length. The record is from RNAcentral. Lineage: Bacteria; Pseudomonadati; Elusimicrobiota. RNAcentral also lists the same sequence under 1 other name.